GUGCUCACCUCACAGCAUAAAUACUAAAAUCAGAACGAUACAGAGAAGAUGAGCACGGCCCCUGCGCAAGAGUGACACGCAAAUUCGGGAAGCGGUCCAUGCUUUU
This 106-nucleotide small nuclear RNA is filed under the name Chinchilla lanigera (long-tailed chinchilla). Lineage: Eukaryota; Metazoa; Chordata; Mammalia; Rodentia; Chinchillidae. The record is from RNAcentral.